RNAcentral lists this non-coding RNA (76 nucleotides) under metagenome. Its description in RNAcentral is "Environmental sequence SAH sequence". It matches the Rfam family "SAH (S-adenosyl-L-homocysteine) riboswitch aptamer". The record is from Rfam by way of RNAcentral.
GCUUCGAGGAGCGCUGCGACUUGCGUGGUUUGCAAGCCAGGCUCGGAGCAUUCGACAGGAACGGCGCUCACCCACU